CUCCCUCCCUCCCAGACCCUCCCACCUCCUGGACAGCUCACUAAGAAUGCAGCUUCAAAAUGGAUGCUGUCUAGGAGGUGGGAGGGUCUGGGAGGGAGGGUC
This 102-nucleotide microRNA precursor is filed under the name Pelobates cultripes (western spadefoot toad). Lineage: Eukaryota; Metazoa; Chordata; Amphibia; Anura; Pelobatidae. The record is from RNAcentral.